GUGCUUGCUUUGGCAAUACAUAUACUAAAAUUUGAAUGAUACACAGAAAAUUCACAUGACCCCUGCGCAAAGAUGACACACAAAUCUGUGAAGCGGUCCCUAUUUCG
This is a small nuclear RNA of Rhinolophus ferrumequinum (greater horseshoe bat), 107 nucleotides long. The record is from Ensembl. NCBI's taxonomy places the organism in Eukaryota, Metazoa, Chordata, Mammalia, Chiroptera, Rhinolophidae.